RNAcentral lists this ribosomal RNA (1113 nucleotides) under Parasinilabeo assimilis. RNAcentral describes it as "partial 16S ribosomal RNA". It matches the Rfam family "Bacterial large subunit ribosomal RNA", at positions 163 to 2063 of the family's 2925-position model. Lineage: Eukaryota; Metazoa; Chordata; Actinopteri; Cypriniformes; Cyprinidae. The record is from RNAcentral.
CAGCUAGCUUAUUCACCAAUAUAAUUAAACAAUAUAAAUAAAAUAGAAUAGACCAAACACUAAAAACUAAACCAUUCUUUUACCUGAGUAUGGGAGACAGAAAAGGUUCAACCAAAGCAAUAGAAAUAGUACCGCAAGGGAAAGCUGAAAGAGAAAUGAAAUAACCCAUAUAAGUACUAAAAAGCAAAGACUAAACCUUGUACCUUUUGCAUCAUGAUUUAGCCAGUAAACACAAGCAAAGAGACCUUUAGUUUGAAACCCCGAAACCAGGUGAGCUACCCCGAGACAGCCUAUUAAGGGCCAACCCGUCUCUGUGGCAAAAGAGUGGGAAGAGCUCCGGGUAGAAGUGACAGACCUACCGAACCUGGUGAUAGCUGGUUGCCUAAGAAAUGGAUAGAAGUUCAGCCUCGUACACCUCAAAUCAAAUAAGCACUAACCAAGACACUAAGAGAAAGACACGAGAGUUAGUUAAAGGGGGUACAGCCCCUUUAACAAAGGAUACAACCUUAUACAGGAGGAUAAAGAUCAUAAUAUAUAAAACAUACUGUUUUAGUGGGCCUAAAAGCAGCCACCUAAACAGAAAGCGUUAAAGCUCAGACAGAAAAAAGUUUAUUAUUCUGAUAAAAAAUCUUACUCCCCUAAAUACUAUUAGGCUAAUCCAUGCCCCCAUGGAAGAAAUUAUGCUAAAAUGAGUAACAAGAAGGCCCGCCCUUCUCCAAGCACAAGUGUAAGCCAAAACGGACCAACCAUUGGCAACUAACGAACUCAACCCAAGAGAGCAAUGUGAACCAUAAAAAAAACAAGAAAAACCCACAACUCAAUAAUCGUUAACCCCACACUGGAGUGCUAUUAAAGGAAAGACUAAAAGAAAAGGAAGGAACUCGGCAAACACAAGCCUCGCCUGUUUACCAAAAACAUCGCCUCCUGCAACACAGCCAUGUAUAGGAGGUCCAGCCUGCCCAGUGACUACAAGUUCAACGGCCGCGGUAUUUUGACCGUGCAAAGGUAGCGCAAUCACUUGUCUUUUAAAUAGAGACCUGUAUGAAUGGCUAAACGAGGGCUUAACUGUCUCCCCUUUCAAGUCAGUGAAAUUGAUCUGCCCGUGCAGAAGCG